CGCCAUGAAGGCCUCGGGCACGCUACGAGAGUACAAGGUAGUGGGUCGCUGCCUGCCCACCCCCAAAUGCCACACGCCGCCCCUCUACCGCAUGCGAAUCUUUGCGCCUAAUCAUGUCGUCGCCAAGUCCCGCUUCUGGUACUUUGUAUCUCAGUUAAAGAAGAUGAAGAAGUCUUCAGGGGAGAUUGUCUACUGUGGGCAGGUAUGGAGAGGCCGGGGCUACGUGGGGUCUGGAGUGGAUUUGCGCCUCUUGGGACAUCGUGCAUCUCAAGAAUUAAUCAGACAUCGACCGGGUGCGGUAGCUCACACCUGUAAUCCCAUCACGUCAGACAUCAGAGCCCCGGGUUGUGUUUCUGCCUGGGUCACGGGACUGGAGCAGAGCUUAUGUGCCAUUUCCCUGAUUAGAAAGCCAGGGACCCAGGGAGCGGGUGGGUGGCAUGGUGGGACACCUUGGUUGGUGCUGUCUUCCCUGGGCCCUGUGUGUUAAGUGAGGAGAGGUGAUGGCUAUCUGGUCAGUGGGUGGUAGCUAGGUUGGCCCAGACAGGUUCCAGGAGACUUGAGUUCAGGAACUGCAUCUGGGGCUGGGUUGGUGUCCGUGGCAGAAGCCUGGACUUCAAGCUGUUGCCAUGGGAAGUUCCCUUACCUCACGCUCCCUGAGGGUGCCUGAAGGUAGGUGGGGCUGGGGAACUGAGGCACAAGAGUCUGGCCAUAGAGUAGGCCUGGAGCCUGGGGUGUGCUUUAGAGGCCGAGGGCUCAGUGAGGAUGGGGCUAGGGCACAUCGGCUUGCUGCUCUCACAUCUCCCUGUGGCCUCUCCUUGGCAGGUGUUUGAGAAGUCCCCCCUGCGGGUGAAGAACUUCGGGAUCUGGCUGCGCUAUGACUCCCGGAGCGGCACCCACAACAUGUAC
RNAcentral lists this small RNA (906 nucleotides) under Pan troglodytes (chimpanzee). RNAcentral's name for it is "retained intron". The record is from RNAcentral. Lineage: Eukaryota; Metazoa; Chordata; Mammalia; Primates; Hominidae.